GCAGCAGCCGCGGGAACACGGAGGGCGCGAGCGUUACCCGGAUUUACUGGGCGUAAAGGGCGUGUAGGCGGCCUGGGGCGUCCCAUGUGAAAGGCCACGGCUCAACCGUGGAGGAGCGUGGGAUACGCUCAGGCUAGAGGGUGGGAGAGGGUGGUGGAAUUCCCGGAGUAGCGGUGAAAUGCGCAGAUACCGGGAGGAACGCCGAUGGCGAAGGCAGCCACCUGGUCCACUUCUGACGCUGAGGCGCGAAAGCGUGGGGAGCAAACCGGAUUAGAUACCCGCGUAGUCCCUGUCUCUUAUAC
This 302-nucleotide ribosomal RNA is filed under the name uncultured bacterium. RNAcentral describes it as "partial 16S ribosomal RNA". It matches the Rfam family "Bacterial small subunit ribosomal RNA", at positions 508 to 807 of the family's 1533-position model. The record is from RNAcentral.